AUCAGCCACCGCGGCUACAGUUUAUAAAGCGCCGCGGUGCGUUUUCAGGUCUUUCCGGCUGGUGGAGCUUAAGCUGUUUAGCCCUGGGGUGGAUGAUGCCGGGUCCUGAGGUCGAUGCUGGGCCCUGGGGUGGAUGAUGCCAGGUCCUAGGUCCUGGGAUGGAUCCUGAACCUGUUCCCCCCCGAGGAUGAGUCUGGGGGCUGCGGGGUUCCUUGUCGAGUCUCCUGAGCUCCAGACAGGAAGACUGAGUGUGGCAUCAGGUGUGGUGUUCUGAGGUCCUGACAUCUCAGCAGCAUGGAGAGAAGCUGACCUGCACAAGUUGGAACCUUCUGGAAGUCCGGCUACAGACUGGCCUCAGGCCACUCGGACCCUGGGACCUCCUACACCAUGUGACCAGGUCGGAUGUUCUACUGAAACUUGUAUGAAGAUCAUUAAAACCUCUGAAACUGGC
Long non-coding RNA from Nothobranchius furzeri (turquoise killifish), 451 nucleotides. RefSeq lists it as uncharacterized. The record is from RefSeq and is a predicted model, not a curated record. NCBI's taxonomy places the organism in Eukaryota, Metazoa, Chordata, Actinopteri, Cyprinodontiformes, Nothobranchiidae.